This 645-nucleotide ribosomal RNA is filed under the name uncultured archaeon. Its description in RNAcentral is "bacterial SSU rRNA". It matches the Rfam family "Archaeal small subunit ribosomal RNA", at positions 1 to 657 of the family's 1478-position model. The record is from RNAcentral.
UCCGGUUGAUCCUGCCAGAGGUCACUGCUAUCGGGGUUCGAUUAAGCCAUGCGAGUCGAGAGGGUUCGGCCCUCGGCGUACUGCUCAGUAACACGUGGAUAACCUGCCCUAGGGGAGGGGAUAACCCCGGGAAACUGGGGAUAAUACCCUAUAGGUUACAGAUGCUGGAAUGCCCUGUAACCAAAAGCUCCGGCGCCCUAGGAUGGAUCUGCGGCCGAUUAGGUUGUUGUUGGGGUAACGGCCCAACAAGCCCGUAAUCGGUACGGGUUGUGGGAGCAAGAGCCCGGAGUUGGAUUCUGAGACACGAAUCCAGGCCCUACGGGGCGCAGCAGGCGCGAAACCUUUACAAUGCGGGCAACCGUGAUAAGGGAACCUCGAGUGCCUGUAAACGCAGGCUGUUCAGGUGUUUAAAACGCACCUGGAGAAAGGGCCGGGCAAGACCGGUGCCAGCCGCCGCGGUAAUACCGGCGGCUCGAGUGGUGGCCGCUUUUAUUGGGCUUAAAGCGUUCGUAGCUGGGUUGUUAAGUCUCUUGGGAAAUCUGGCGGCUUAACCGUCAGGCGUCUAAGGGAUACUGGCAAUCUUGGAACCGGGAGAGGUGAGGGGUACUUCGGGGGUAGGGUGAAAUCCUGUAAUCCUCGAGGGAC